RNA transcript from Chenopodium quinoa (quinoa), 4918 nucleotides. It is a transcript of the gene named DNA polymerase alpha catalytic subunit-like, with no coding region annotated. The record is from RefSeq and is a predicted model, not a curated record. NCBI's taxonomy places the organism in Eukaryota, Viridiplantae, Streptophyta, Magnoliopsida, Caryophyllales, Amaranthaceae. The transcript has 7 exons.
ACUACGAGGCUAGGAAGCCGACAAUGAUGAAAUAUCUCCAAAUGGUGAAGGAUGAGGUCAAGGGCCUAAAGCAUUUCACGUUGCAACAAGUCCCUCGGUCCGAUAACAAUCAAGCAGAUGCCUUGUCCAAGCUAGCCUCCUUGGCAUCAUGUGAUACUCUGAGAUCUGUGUUCUGGGAAGUAAAAGGAGAAGCGAAGCAUUGAUGCCGAGCCCAUGUAAAUCAUUGACCAAAGCUCUACAUGGAUGGACGGAAUUAUCUCCUAUCUCAAAGAUGGAAUUCUUCCGGACGACCCAAAAGAGAGUUGGGUGAUGAAGAAAAAGGCGACAUGGUUUGAGAAGAAGGGUGGGAACUUGUUCAAGAAAUCAUUUGUCAAACCAUAUUUGAAGUAUGUUACGCCUUAGCGGGGGCAUGAAGUUCUAGAUGACUUUCAUCAGGGGCAUUGCGGAUCACACAUAGGUGGACGAGGCUUAGCUGAAAAGGUAACCCAUGUGGGCUAUUACUGGCCGAGCAUGAAUUCAGACGCUAGAGAAAUGGUGAAAAAAUGUGAUAAGUGCCAAAGAUUCGCAACCCUCAUCCUCCGUCCGACAAAUAGCUUGUUGGCCAUAAGUAGUCCUCUCCCUUUUGUAAAAUGGGGCAUGGACAUCUUGGAGCCGUAUACUCUUGCAUCAGGGCAAUGACGGUACGUGUUAGUAGGAGUCGACUACUACACGAAGUGGGUGGAGACUGAGGCCAUCCGAGGGAUCAAGUGGAAAGAUGUGUUCACCUUCAUUUGGAAGAAUAUAAUCACCCGUUUUUGUGUUCCACAAUCAAUGGUGUUCGAUAAUGGGCCCCAGUGUGAAAUAGACCAUCUCAGAGAUUGGCUGAGUGAUCAGGGCAUAACACAUUGAUUUGCCUUGGUUGGACGCCCAAAAGCCAAUGGUCAAGUUGAAGCGUACAAUAAUUGAUCAAGCGGAAGCUUGAGAAAGCAGGCGGCUUAUGGGCUGAUGAAUUGGUCAAUGUCCUAUGGUCCAAUCGAAUAACAGCCAAAAGCUCAAUAGGAGAAACCCUAUUCUUUCUUGUCUAUGGCGCUGAAAUCGUCCUCCCAAUUGAGAUGUAUGAGCCCACUUUGCGAGUGAUGUUGUAUGAUUAAUCGGCCAAUUAGGAGGCCAUAAAGACUGUCUUAAACUUUCUUCCGGAAGUUAGGGGAAACGCGACGCUUAAACACGAAAUAUAUUGUCUAAGGAUGACAAGGGCAUAUAAUCGAAAGGUGUCAAAGCGGCCGCUUAAGAUGGGAGAUCUAGUUCUGAGAAAAAUAGAAGCGGUAGGCCGAGCAAAAGAAGACGACAAGUUAACCCAUAAUUGGGAAGGGCCAUACCGAAUCAGAGAAGAAGUGCGAGAUGGUACAUACCGUCUCAAAACCUUAGAUGGUUGUCCUAUUCAAUGUACUUGGUAUGGACAAUCUAAAAAUAUAUUAUGUAUAAAGUUUUUAUACUUAGCCAAAAAAGUUGUAUAUACAACUAGGUCUAGCGACCGAGCAAUGUAAUUAAAGUCGUACGGCCAAACAAUGUAAUUUUGACCGAAUAAAUGAGAUAGUCAAACAUUGUUAAUUAAAUUUUUGCAUAAAUAUUGCGUACGACUAAGCAGAAAUGCCGCCAAAAAUUAGAAACAAUGGUUGCUAGCAACAUAGCAGCUCGGCCUCUAAAAAGGGGCAAGGUACAACGACUAGGAGAAAACCCAACAAGGUCUCUCCCAGCCAAGCAAUAUGGCCCUCGAAUGGGGCAAAUGUGGAAAGCCGGCAGAAAAAUCUAUCAAAAGUCUCUCCCAGCAAAGUAACUCAGCCAUAAUUGUCAGACUGCUAUCCAUCAGGCCAUGAUCUUGGUCAGACGGAUAAGAAAUAAGGUAGCCUAAAAUUGUUUAAGGAAUUUUAAGUCUAAGGGAAAGGAUAUACCUAAGCUAUUAAGCCAUACGAAUACUUAGAAAUUAUCAGAUUAAGAUCAUAUCUGAAAUUUCAUAAGUACAUCUAAGAGAUAGUAUCAAAGGAAGACUUGGCACAAAUUAAAUAUGAAGCCAAUUAAAUGGCCGCAUAUAGAAAUUCAUUCGACAUUUUCCUAGUCCAAGGGAAAUCAUUAUGAUUUUAAAUUAUAGUCGUCAUACCCUUUGAGGUAUAAGAUCUAUCAAGUUAAUCAAACCUCUUUAAAUAUGGACAAGACAAAAUGCCAAAUAAAGGGGCAUACCCCCAUAUCCAUUCGUACUCAAAAUAAAGGCAUAUGGCAUGAAAAAAUGCAAAAAAAUGCUAAGUAUGAAUGAAGAAAAAGGAGAGAACUUGCAUAGAUCAAAGCCGCUCAAACAGGCGGUAAAAUAAAGAAGUCAUAAUACAAUACCGCUCAAACAGGCAACAAAGAUGCAAAUUGUAUAGAACAAAGAAAUAACAAGCUAAGUAAAAAAGGCUGAUAAACUGCACCAGAAGACCGAAGCCCUUCACUUAGCCAACGCCUUGUCACCAUCAGCAUUGGGAACAGUCUUGGCCGACUCCUCUUCCUCGACCGGCUUCUCUUCCUCCUCCUCCCCCUCGUCAUCUUCUACUUCAUCCUCAUCAUCUCUUGGAGGAGGAGAGGUAGUUUCGACGAACUCAGGAGGGGGUAGUCCGACAGCUACGGCUUCCUCCUUGAGAGAGACAUGCAUGAUUUAGCCGAUGAACAAAGCGCUCCUGAUAGUAAGCGAACUCACUGAUGGGAAACAUCAUGGAGAACGCUUCAUAGAAACGGCUCUUCAGCCUCUCCUCGGCCACAUGCUCAAGUUGGACCGCCUCCUUAGGGUCGAUCAGCCGUGGUGCUUUGAGCUGCACAGUCAGGUUCGUAAUAGACUUGUUCAGUCGGUCAACCUCAAGCUUGAGGGAGUCCAAUUAGUCUAGAGUCGCCUGAAGAGCCUGAAGGCUAGAGUCCAGCUUGACCUUUAGCUUCUAAGAGGAUUCAAAGCCCUCUUUCCAUUAAGAAAUGUUAGCGACCGCCUCGUCCCUUUCUUUUUGAAGGGCCUCCCGAGCAAGCCGCUCCAGCCUAUGAGCAUCGCCCAUUAUGACGAUGUCCUCUUUUUGUUGACUUCUCGGACAGUGCAUAGAGGGCGGCUUUGUGCCGGAUCUCCUGCAUUGCUAGUAGGCCGGUGUUCUCACCCUGGACCUUCUUUAUCAUGUUCUAGGCGGCCUUGAUCUUCUCUUGCUCCUUAGAACGCCAAUCCAGGAAGGCGCUGAGUCUAAGGAAAAGCUGCAUUCGGACAGAAACAAGUUAGUAAAAGCGAAAACGUGAAAAUAAACUCACUAGUAGAAAAAAUGACAAAGGCACCCCACCUUUGGCACCAGUUUUUGAAAACCGGUGGUUAAAAAAACGGGCGGGAUUGGAAAACAAGCUUUUGGCACCGGUUCCAGCCAAACCGGUGGCAAAUUAUCUUUUUGGCACCGGUUCAAACCGGUGCCAAAUAAAAAAGAUAUUUCUUUAAAAAAAAAAAAGGGAGAAAUGGAUUUGGCACCCGAACCGGUGCAAAAUCUAUUGUAAAAUAAAAAAAAACCCGGAUAUACUCUUUCUUUCUCUUACUUUCAUUUCCUCGAUAUUUCCUCCUCUCUCAUCUGAUCUGCCUCUCUCUUUCUCUCCUCCAUUGAAGCGUACUCGAAUUUCUCCAUUGAAGGGGCUUCUGAGCUUUCUCUCAGCACUUUCCUCAAACUCCUUUGAUCUCUAUAACCGCCACUUUUCCCUUUCCUUUCAUCUCUCUUUCGAUCUCCUUCUCCUUCUCUCUUUGAGGUUAGGGUUUCUAGGUGCGUCUGUUUUGAAUCAAUUUGAUGUACAUGUGUCUUCAACAACAACAAAUUCGAAUCAAUUUCGAACCAAAAAUCAGAAAUUCGAGGUUAGGGUUUCUUGGUUAUUUAGCUUUGCGUUAUAUUGUAGCAGUUCUGAGCUUUCUCCUCCAUUGAAACAACUUCUGAGGGUUAGAUACGAAUUGCUGGAUUCUCUCUUCUGCUCGAUUAUCUGUUGAGUAAUCACCAAAAUCGAAAGUUUUAGUUUUCUAAGGAUGGUGUGAAGUAUAUUGAAGAGAUAAAAAUGAGAGUGAACCUUGUUAUCCCAACUCCACCAUCUCCAGAGUUGUUACCCCUCAACGAAACAGUGAAACAGAUUAUCAAUGAUUUGCUUAAUCCAACUGGUCAGAAUCUACGUGUAAGAGAAGAUGCCCAGGUAAGUGAACGGAAGGGCCUUGAUAUGGUGCGUUGUGAUUGGAGCUUGUUAUCAAAGGAAGUUGGGGACUAUUGCUUGAGUCCGAUACUUUCUAGAGGAUGCCGUGAGGAUGUUGUGGAGUCGAUACAUAGUUAUCUUAUGAAGCUAAUAGAAAGACCUAAAUUUUUGUUGGCCAGUGUUUAAAUAACGAAAAUAGGAAUUGAUCUUCCAGAUUCACUACUGCAUUGACAUAAUUUGAAUGUGUCACUCUUGAAACUUAAUCUGUCACUCUUAAUGGGAAUAUGUCUUGUAAAUUUGUCAUCAUUUUUUGUAUGUUAGAUAUAGUCGCAAUAAUUUAUACAAACAUCUUUCAGGAAUCAUGACAUAUGAUGGUCUCGAGAGUUGCAUUUUGAAUAGUCGACUAUACACAAGUGAGAAUUCAAUCUGUGGGGAGAAUGAUUGUCCAGCAGACUCUUUUAAUGGAGGAGAAACCAGCUGCUCAUCAAGCAAAGAUGCUUUCGGAUCUUUCUUUUCUGAUAGGACUAUGAAGAGGAACCAUGAAGAAACAGAUGAGUGGAGUGUCCCAGAAAGCCCAGAACAUAUUUUGGUUCCUUUGCACUAGAUGCAUAGAUGGAUGCAGUCAAGUCUUAUUUGGGAAUUGCUACUGCCUCUUAUCUUUGAUUGUGUAGUUUUUUUUUUUUUUUUUUUCCAGUUUUUUAAAGUGUAAUAUUAAAAGUUAUUG